CCUACGGGAGGCAGCAGUGGGGAAUUUUGGACAAUGGGGGCAACCCUGAUCCAGCCAUGCCGCGUGAGUGAAGAAGGCCUUCGGGUUGUAAAGCUCUUUCGGCUGGGAAGAAAUCGCACAGGCUAAUACUCUGUGUGGAUGACGGUACCAGCAUAAGAAGCACCGGCUAACUACGUGCCAGCAGCCGCGGUAAUACGUAGGGUGCGAGCGUUAAUCGGAAUUACUGGGCGUAAAGCGUGCGCAGGCGGUUGUGCAAGACAGAUGUGAAAUCCCCGGGCUCAACCUGGGAACUGCAUUUGUGACUGCACGACUAGAGUACGGCAGAGGGGGGUAGAGUUCCACGUGUAGCAGUGAAAUGCGUAGAGAUGUGGAGGAAUACCGAUGGCGAAGGCAGCCCCCUGGGUCGAUACUGACGCUCAUGCACGAAAGCGUGGGGAGCAAACAGGAUUAGAUACCCUGGUAGUCCACGCCCUAAACGAUGUCAACUAGUUGUUGGUAGGGUUAAACCUAUUAGUAACGUAGCUAACGCGUGAAGUUGACCGCCUGGGGAGUACGGUCGCAAGAUUAAAACUCAAAGGAAUUGACGG
This 587-nucleotide ribosomal RNA is filed under the name uncultured beta proteobacterium. RNAcentral describes it as "bacterial SSU rRNA". It matches the Rfam family "Bacterial small subunit ribosomal RNA", at positions 338 to 916 of the family's 1533-position model. Lineage: Bacteria; Pseudomonadati; Pseudomonadota; Betaproteobacteria. The record is from RNAcentral.